GACGAACGCUGGCGGCGUGCUUAACACAUGCAAGUCGAACGGAAAGGCCCUGCUUGCAGGGUACUCGAGUGGCGAACGGGUGAGUAACACGUGGGUGAACUGCCCUGCACUUCGGGAGAAGCCUGGGAAACUGGGGCUAAUACCGGAUAGGAGCCAUUCUGAUGGUGAUUGUUGGAAAGUUUUUUCGGUGUGGGAUGAGCUCGCGGCCUAUCAGCUUGUUGGUGGGGUAAUGGCCUACCAAGGCGGCGGCGGGUGGCCGGCCUGAGAGGGUGGACGGCCACAUUGGGACUGGGAUUCGGCCCAGGCUCCUACGGGGGGGCGCAGUGGGGAAUAUUGGACCAUGGGCGCCAGCCUGAUGCAGCGACGCCGCGGGGGGGAUGACGGCCUUCGGGUUGUAAACCCCUUUCGCUAGGGACGAAGCUUUUUGUGACGGUACCUAGAUAAGAAGCACCGGCUAACUACGUG
This 465-nucleotide ribosomal RNA is filed under the name uncultured bacterium. Its description in RNAcentral is "partial 16S ribosomal RNA". It matches the Rfam family "Bacterial small subunit ribosomal RNA", at positions 28 to 507 of the family's 1533-position model. The record is from RNAcentral.